UGCUCCUCCAACCUUUGGAACCGAUGGCAUGUAGAGAAGCUGAAUUAUGUUGCCUGGAUAUUGGUGGCUUCUCUAACAGAAAUAUAUAUAUAAAAUACUGAAGAGAACUACUGGGAUUUGUCCCACAUGAACCAUUUUGAUUCCAGCUUAGGCAGAUGUUCAAAUCAGCUGGGAACACAGGAGGCAAACAUAAGAUUCCUGGAGCUCCCUGUGGUUUUGGCUGGACUGGCAGAGUCUUCGACACAGGCAGAUUUUAUGUGAGUUUGCCCUGCUCCCUGUCUGUUCCCUGAGCCCACUCCGUACCACUGCUCAGAUCCAGGUUUUCUUCUCCGGUGACCCAGUGGAUGCUCUCUCCGCAUGGAACAAGGU
Molecule: long non-coding RNA, 369 nt
Organism: Bubalus bubalis (water buffalo)
Lineage: Eukaryota; Metazoa; Chordata; Mammalia; Artiodactyla; Bovidae
Exons: 3
Source: RefSeq, a predicted model, not a curated record